RNAcentral lists this non-coding RNA (23 nucleotides) under Arabidopsis thaliana (thale cress). The record is from RNAcentral. Lineage: Eukaryota; Viridiplantae; Streptophyta; Magnoliopsida; Brassicales; Brassicaceae.
CUAUAAUUGUUCUUCGUUGUAGA